UACGGGGGGGGCAAGCGUUGUUCGGAAUUACUGGGCGUAAAGGGCUCGUAGGCGGCCACCUAAGUCAGACGUGAAAUCCCUCGGCUUAACCGGGGAACUGCGUCUGAUACUGGAUGGCUUGAGUUUGGGAGAGGGAUGCGGAAUUCCAGGUGUAGCGGUGAAAUGCGUAGAUAUCUGGAGGAACACCGGUGGCGAAGGCGGGUCUCUGGGCCGAUACUGACGCUGAGGAGCGAAAGCGUGGGGAGCAAACAGG
This 253-nucleotide ribosomal RNA is filed under the name uncultured bacterium. RNAcentral's name for it is "partial 16S ribosomal RNA". It matches the Rfam family "Bacterial small subunit ribosomal RNA", at positions 524 to 776 of the family's 1533-position model. The record is from RNAcentral.